GCGACUCGGACCUGGGCACAGGCCCAGGGCGGUGCGGCUGAGGGGCUGCCCCGGCCUGGGCCCGGCCUCUCUCCUCCUGCCCGAGGCUAGCUGCGCUGCGAGAGCCGGGGGGCGGCCGCGGCGGGCGGGGCGGCGCCGCGGAGGGCUGGACCCCCGACCCCGGCUCCCGGAGCCCGCCAGCCCGGCCAAGAUCCCUGCCCGCUAGCGGGGCGGCCGCUCCCUGCGACCUGGGCCACUCUCCUUCUGACGCGCCUCCCGGGCAGGGGGCUUCGGGAGGGGCCGAGGUCGCCCACUAGGGGGACCCGAUCUGCCGACGUGGCUGUGUUGCCCCAGCGGACUGCGAGCGCCUCUGGAGCCGGUACCGCGUCCUCAGCACUUAGAUCCGGCACGUAGUGGGGCCUAGUAAAAGGCUAAGUCAGAGAAGGCAGAGUUGGCCUGGGCCUGGCGCUUAGUAGUUACGCGCUAACCUUUCGGUCAUUGCUGGAUAUAAGGACAUUCACGCCGGCUUGGAGGCUUUUUAUUCAAAAGGAGCAUAAUUUUGGAGAGAAAGCAAAUAAGCAGAGUGAAAAUUAAAGGAAGAAGAAAUGUGUGCCUUAACCCAGAAUCUUAACUGACAACACAUGCAUGCUCCUGAACCUCUGAAACAAAAGUCCUUUGUGAGAGUAUGAAAGACAGAAAAAGCCCAGAGAGCUAAGAGAAGCUAAGAGAUG
This is a long non-coding RNA of Choloepus didactylus (southern two-toed sloth), 710 nucleotides long. RefSeq lists it as uncharacterized. Lineage: Eukaryota; Metazoa; Chordata; Mammalia; Pilosa; Megalonychidae. The record is from RefSeq and is a predicted model, not a curated record. The transcript is spliced from 3 exons.